UUUCCGUAGGUGAACCUGCGGAAGGAUCAUUAAAGGAUUUGCACGCAUAUGUGUGCAAAGCCCCCACCCUGUGAUGUGUAUUGUGUGAGUGUGGCCCUAUGUGCCACGCCUUUUUUCCAACCACUCUUUAUCAUUCUGAAAUACAAAUUAACAAUCGAAAACUGCCAGCAAUGGAUCACUUGGUUCUC
RNAcentral lists this unclassified non-coding RNA (188 nucleotides) under soil metagenome. RNAcentral's name for it is "partial contains small subunit ribosomal RNA and internal transcribed spacer 1". The record is from RNAcentral.